AACGCUGGCGGCGUAGCUUAACACAUGCAAGUCGAACGGAGAUUAAGGAAUUAGUUACUAAUACUUUAAUCUUAGUGGCGACGGGUGAGUAACGCGUGGGUAACCUACCCUUAAAACCGGGACAACAGCUGGAAACGGCUGCUAAUACCGGAUAAUCUUCUAGUUCGGCAUCGAACUAGGAGGAAAGGUGGCCUCUGAAUAUGCUACCGAUUAAGGAUGGACCCGCGUCUGAUUAGCUAGUUGGUAGGGUAGUAGCCUACCAAGGCGACGAUCAGUAGCCGGCCUGAGAGGGUGACCGGCCACACUGGGACUGAGACACGGCCCAGACUCCUACGGGAGGCAGCAGUGGGGAAUCUUCCGCAAUGGGCGCAAGCCUGACGGAGCAACGCCGCGUGAAUGAAGAAGGCCUUCGGGUCGUAAAGUUCUGUUGAAAGGGAAGAAGUCUGUGUGUGUGAAUAAUGCAUACAGGUGACGGUACCUUUUGAGGAAGCUCCGGCUAACUACGUG
This 507-nucleotide ribosomal RNA is filed under the name uncultured bacterium. Its description in RNAcentral is "bacterial SSU rRNA". It matches the Rfam family "Bacterial small subunit ribosomal RNA", at positions 32 to 507 of the family's 1533-position model. The record is from RNAcentral.